UGGGGAAUAUUGCACAAUGGGCGAAAGCCUGAUGCAGCAACGCCGCGUGAGCGAUGAAGGCCUUUGGGUCGUAAAGCUCUGUCCUUGGGGAAGAAGUGCGAUCAGGUGAACAAUCUGGUCGUUUGACGGUACCUGGCGAAUAAGCUCCGGCCAACUCCGUGCCAGCAGCCGCGGUAAUACGGAAGGGGCUAGCGUUGUUCGGAUUUACUGGGCGUAAAGCGCAUGUAGGCGGCGGAUCAAGUGGGGCGUGAAAGGCCUGGGCUCAACCUGGGAACUGCGCUUCAGACUGGUCUGCUCGAGUUCGGGAGAGGGUGGUGGAAUUCCCAGUGUAGAGGUGAAAUUCGUAGAUAUUGGGAGGAACACCGGUGGCGAAGGCGGCCACCUGGCCCGAGACUGACGCUCAAGUGCGAAAGCGUGGGGAGCAAACA
This 428-nucleotide ribosomal RNA is filed under the name uncultured prokaryote. Its description in RNAcentral is "bacterial SSU rRNA". It matches the Rfam family "Bacterial small subunit ribosomal RNA", at positions 355 to 774 of the family's 1533-position model. The record is from RNAcentral.